AAUUGCUAGUAAUCGCGGAUCAGCAUGCCGCGGUGAAUACGUUCCCGGGCCUUGUACACACCGCCCGUCACACCAUGAGAGUCGGGAACACCCGAAGUCCGUAGCCUAACCGCAAGGGGGGCGCGGCCGAAGGUGGGUUCGAUAAUUGGGGUGAAGUCGUAACAAGGUAGC
This 171-nucleotide ribosomal RNA is filed under the name uncultured bacterium. RNAcentral's name for it is "partial 16S ribosomal RNA". It matches the Rfam family "Bacterial small subunit ribosomal RNA", at positions 1330 to 1500 of the family's 1533-position model. The record is from RNAcentral.